Felis catus (domestic cat) is the source of this 2221-nucleotide long non-coding RNA. RefSeq lists it as uncharacterized. The transcript has 3 exons. The record is from RefSeq and is a predicted model, not a curated record. Lineage: Eukaryota; Metazoa; Chordata; Mammalia; Carnivora; Felidae.
GCUCCGGGCUCCGAGCCGUCAGCCCAGAGCCCGAUGCGGGGCUCGAACCCACGGACCGUGAGAUCACGACCUGAGCCGAAGUCGGACGCUUAACCACUGAGCCACCCAGGUGCCCCUGUUUUAGCAUUUCUACUCACAGUUUCUAAUCUUAAAGAUGUUCAGAGACAGAACUUAUUAUUGUGCCCACAUUACAACCGGGAGGCCAAGGCACAAGAGAGGUCCCUUGUCACAUAGGCCAGUUGCAGAGCCCAGGUUAGGAGGUGGGUCUGUGGAACCCACACCUGGUGAGCCGCUCCUGGAUGAACCAACUUGCCUGAUCUCACCAGAGAUGUCGAGGCUCUCCCCUUGGCUUCUGGGGGGACAAUCAGGGUGUUGGGGCAUGGGGGGGGGAGGGAGCUGGACGAGGCUCCUGCCACUUGAUGCAGACCCUGAACUUGUAAGAAGGUGCCAUCAGCCACCUGUGUUUGGAGAGAAUGUGAGACCUGACUGCUGGCCCCAAGCCCUGUGGGGGAGAGCACCCCCAGUGGGGCUGGGGUGCAGGCCAGGGUCUGUCUGUUUGCCCUACAGCUUAGGUAAGCCCUUUUCCAGGAACCGAGGCCUCUACAGGUCACCUGUUUGCCCUUUGUUGAUCUGCAAAGCCUCUGAUGAGACGGACUUUGUGCUUGGGAGUGUCAUCAGCCAGGGCAGUGGCCCCUGAUCUCCUGGAAACCUGCCCUCAGAUGAAGGAGCCAAGGGCCGGAGAUGAUAUCGUGUGGCUGAGAUCUCCAGGAGGGGGCAAGAACCGGGCCGUCAGAGUCCACAUCCGUUCUGCCAUCUGCACCAGCCCCAGGGUACCCCCGGAGGUGGGCUGUCUGGUCCAGAAGCCAGCGCUCCCCUGGCCCGAUACCCCAGCUGUCUCUGGCAGGCGCAGGACCACGGUAUUAGGGAUCGGUCUCGGCCCCAGCACCGUGGGGUGGCAGAGCAUGUGCGGAAGCCCGUGGCAGGAGAGAGGGGCCGUGUUCAAGGGGAGAGACUGGAAAUGGCCCAAGACCCGCAGACGUGGCCCGGAGGGGAGUUCGGCUCGAUUCCGUCAGAUUUGUAAAAAUAAUAAAUGAUACGUGCUAACCGAUUGCUGUUACUGAACCGGCCCCGGCUGCCGUUUACGGGCUGGCUUUGCUAGAGGCUCCGCCUCAACGUGGGUCUCUGUCUCCGAUCAAUCUGUCUCUGUCGUUCUUGAGAAGCCCGAGGCAGCGAUGCUGCCCGCCCCCCUCCCUCCCCAGCAGCACUCGCUAGGCCUUCCCCGGAUGGCUUCAGCUCCUUAGGAUGGGGGCCGGGUCGCUGAUGUCUUUUGUCCAGUUUAGAGCAGUGGGCUUGGAGCUUCGGGACCCGUGUGACCCAGUAGGUCGGAGCCUCGCCAUAAAGCAUGAUGGAUAGGUGAAUUUCCUUGAUGGAGGAUAUUCCACUCUGCCGGAUACGGGGUUCGCCAUCACCUGAGUCCGGGAUAUAUGCACAUCACUGCCUCUGCCUCGGACAUCCCCGAUAACCCCCGUGGAACCAGCAGACAUUAGGAAUCCAAUAGAUCUACGGGCGCCUGGGGGGCUCAGGAGGUGGAGCGUCCGACUUCGGCUCAGGUCAAGAACUCACCGUUUGUAGGUUCGAGCCCCGCGUCGGGCUCUGUGCCGACAGCUCGGAGCCGGGAGCCUGCUUCGGAUUCUGUGUCUCCCUCUCUCUCUGCCCCUCCCCACCUCUCCAAAAUAAAUAAACAUUAAAAACUUAAAAUAAAAAAAGGAAUCUAACAGAUCUAGAGUCAACACCUGGCUCUACCUUUUACUCAUUACCAUAACCUUGGACAGAUCACCUGACCCCUGGACCGAACUUCCUCGUCUAUAAAAUGGGGCAGCGAUGGUUAUCUCCGUGGGCCCUGGGGUGAGAAUUAGGAGGGAGUGUGCAGGAAGUGCAGGCACAGGACCUGAUAGGGGAGUUGUAGUAGUCGAAAUUUGGCGACCACCUGCCUGAGGGCUCUGCCAAGGGUCACCUCCUCCAGGAAGCCUGCUUGGCCUCCAUCUCACCGGCAAAGCUGCCCCCACCUCCCCUGUGGCUUUUGUCUCGUUUAGCACUGUCUACAAAGGUGCCCCUCCCCUUGCCUGCCUCACCACUCCAGUGAGCUGGCAUUGCCUGGGCCCUCAAACCUCUCCGACGGCAGGCAGCGUGCCUUUUUUUUUUUUUUUUUUUUUUUUGCUCC